GACGAACGCUGGCGGCGUGCCUAAUACAUGCGAGUAGAACGCACAGUUUAUACCGUAGCUUGCUACACCAUAGACUGUGAGUUGCGAACGGGUGAGUAACGCGUAGGUAACCUGCCUGGUAGCGGGGGAUAACUAUUGGAAACGAUAGCUAAUACCGCAUAAUAUUAAUUAUUGCAUGAUAAUUAAUUGAAAGGUGCAAUUGCACCACUACCAGAUGGACCUGCGUUGUAUUAGCUAGUAGGUGAGGUAACGGCUCACCUAGGCGACGAUACAUAGCCGACCUGAGAGGGUGAUCGGCCACACUGGGACUGAGACACGGCCCAGACUCCUACGGGAGGCAGCAGUAGGGAAUCUUCGGCAAUGGACGAAAGUCUGACCGAGCAACGCCGCGUGAGUGAAGAAGGGUUUCGGAUCGUAAAGCUCUGUUGUAGGAGAAGAACGGGUGUGAGAGUGGAAAGUUCACACUGUGACGGUAUCUUACCAGAAAGGGACGGCUAACUACGUG
RNAcentral lists this ribosomal RNA (505 nucleotides) under uncultured bacterium. RNAcentral's name for it is "partial 16S ribosomal RNA". It matches the Rfam family "Bacterial small subunit ribosomal RNA", at positions 28 to 507 of the family's 1533-position model. The record is from RNAcentral.